RNAcentral lists this ribosomal RNA (925 nucleotides) under uncultured Cystobasidiomycetes. RNAcentral's name for it is "SSU rRNA". It matches the Rfam family "Eukaryotic small subunit ribosomal RNA", at positions 475 to 1442 of the family's 1831-position model. Lineage: Eukaryota; Fungi; Basidiomycota; Cystobasidiomycetes. The record is from RNAcentral.
AUAAAUAACAAUGNAGGGCUCUUAUGGGUCUUAUAAUUGGAAUGAGUACAAUUUAAAUCCCUUAACGAGGAUCAAUUGGAGGGCAAGUCUGGUGCCAGCAGCCGCGSUAAUUCCAGCUCCAAUAGCGUAUACUAAAAUUGUUGCCGUUAAAAAGCUCGUAGUCGAACUUCGGCCUUUGCCGCCCGGUCCGCCUUUUUGGUGUGUACUGGAGCGGUGGAGGCCUACUUCGUGGUGAACGAUCAUGCUCUUCACUGGGUGUGGUUGGGAACCAUGACUUUUACCUUGAAAAAAUUAGAGUGUUCAAAGCAGGCUUACGCCCGAAUACAUUAGCAUGGAAUAAUAAAAUAAGACGUGCGUUCUUAUUUUGUUGGUUUCUAGGAUCGCCGUAAUGAUUAAUAGGGAYAGUUGGGGGCAUUCGUAUUCAAUUGCUAGAGGUGAAAUUCUUGGAUUUAUUGAAGACGAACUACUGCGAAAGCAUUUGCCAAGGAUGUUUUCAUUGAUCAAGAACGAAGGUUAGGGGAUCGAAAACGAUCAGAUACCGUUGUAGUCUUAACAGUAAACGAUGCCGACUAGGGAUCGGACGAGGAUUUUUAAUGACUCGUUCGGCACCUGAAGAGAAAUCUUUAAGUCUAGGUUCGGKGGGGAGUAUGGUCGCAAGGCUGAAACUUAAAGGAAUUGACGGAAGGGCACCACCAUGGUGUGGAGCCUGCGGCUUAAUUUGACUCAACACGGGGAAACUCACCAGGUCCAGACACGACAAGGAUUGACAGAUUGAUAGCUCUUUCUUGAUUUCGUGGUUGGUGGUGCAUGGCCGUUCUUAGUUGGUGGAGUGAUUUGUCUGGUUAAUUCCGAUAACGAACGAGACCUUAACCUGCUAAAUAGCCCGGCCGACUUUGGUUGGUCGCUGGCUUCUUAGAGGGACUAU